CGACAGCCGGGAGGGGAGGCAGGGCCCAGGACGCGAGGUGGCGACAAGUCGCUUUUGGCCCCAGGGAGCCGGAUAUGAGUGGAAGAGAGAGGACCACUUGUUACUAGGCAACCAGCACCCGCCUCACCCAUGUUGCCAUGGUGAUGAUGAAAGUUGGGCUGAUGGGAUUACCAGCUCCUGCUAAUUGCACAUGAGCACUCAAGGGGCUGUGGGGUCACCUUCUCCUCUCUCCUGCCACCCCAAGGCAUCUGCACUGUGUGUUAUGCAAUGAGAGAGCACCUUGGCCUGGACCUCAAGAGACCCACGUUUAGUUCUGCCUCUGUCAUGGCCUAGAGCAGUGGCCUCAGGUAAGUCAACUCACCUCUGUGGAGCUGGAGCCUCCUCUC
Molecule: long non-coding RNA, 386 nt
Filed under: Meriones unguiculatus (Mongolian gerbil)
Lineage: Eukaryota; Metazoa; Chordata; Mammalia; Rodentia; Muridae
Description: lncRNA (ENSMUGG00000015573.1)
Source: RNAcentral